GAUUCCUAUUUUAUGAUUCCAUAUAUGUUUCCAUAACUCUCUUACUUCAGUUAGAAGUUCAUGAUUCUUAAAAACUUCUUAUGAUACUUAAGAUGAGAUGUUUUCUAUGAUGAACAUGAUAAUGAAGAUCUUAAUUCUAGAAAUUCCAAAGUUUAUGAUUUUAAUGCUAUUAUGAGAUUAUUGAGCUUAUUUCAUGGCUUUCUCGAUUUUAUUCAUUGUUGUUGAUCUCACCUUAUAAUAAUUGUUCCUUCAAGGUGGGAUAAAUGAUGAUGACUGAUCCAUAAUAUAAUCGGAGGCUAACGACCUUACGUCACUCCGAUAUAGUUAUGGCUUUUGAUUGGGCUCUCAUUCAUGCUUUAUAUAUAUGUAUGUAUUUUCUCACACCGCGCCGCGCUAUAGUCGGCCGGGCAUGGCACGUAGAUGUGCACACCACUGCAGUGGGCAUGUUAUGAUAUUGCCCCAGACGCGGGAGGCCCGGACGCUAGCUAAUGAUGAUAACACCGAGCCUUAAUGGCCAGGCAUGAUACUAUAUAUAUGACACCGAGCCUUAAUGGCUGGGCAUGAUACUAUAUACAUGACAUCGAGCCUUAAUGGCCGACAUGGUACUAUAUAUAUGUAUAAGAAUUUUUUUUUAAAGGCUAAGCAUGCAUGACACCGCCCUAUGAGGCAUCCAGAUGUACAGGUUAUCUCUCAUAUUCCAUGUUAUCUAUAUCUAUAUUAUGUUGUUAUGCAUGCCUUACAUACUCAGUACAUUAUUCGUACUGACGUCCCUUCUUGUGGACGCCGCUCAUGCCCGCAGGUAGGCAGGGAGACGGAUCAGACCCGUAGGUGUUCUAUCAGCAAAUUCUCAGUAGCACUCCACCUAUUUCAGAGUUGCAGUCUAUUUGGUAUUGUCCUUAUGAUCAUUUGUGUUCUAUGUAGAGGCUCGUAGACGUGUGUGUAUAGUUAGAUGUUUUAUAGCUCCACCGGUUCAUAUUGUUGUAUAAUAUAUUGGUGGCCUUAUCGGCCUUAUUUUGAGCUCUUGAUACUUUACUGUUAGCCUUGCAGGCUUUAUGAUAUACGUUAUGUUGUGGCGACCUUGUCGGUCCGCAUAUGUACAUAUGUGCUGAAUGAGCGGAUAUUCCUAUUUUGGGCCUUUUCUACGUGCAGGUGUUCUUUGAGUUAUGGUUUAUAAUGUUCAAAGUAACGGAUAAGUCAGGUGGUUCCCGGCCUACGGGUCGGAGCCCGUCAUACUCCUGGUAGGGGUGUGACAGUUUCCUGUGAAUUCGACCCGGCUCAUAGUUGGGUUUUUUAUAUUGCGACGAUCGUGUACACUUUCCCUUGGAGGGGUAGAUUUGGACGUUAUCAUGCCCAUUUGUCGCGUCCUUUCAAACAAAAGCUUUACGAGUUCCAAUUCUAAUAGCAGUAAAGGUAGAGAAUAAAUCAAUAGAGGAGAAGAAGCUUAUCGUCUUUGAGAAAAAUCCGAAGAGUACUAUUAGGAUGAUUCAGGGUGGAGAAUCACAAAAGGUGGUGUUCAGAUGGAGACAAGCCAACAAAGGGUGGAGAAAAGUAUCGAGUAAUUAUAGUAAUGUUGGCAAGUUUAAGGAUUAAAGCAAAUGGUACAAUGAAAACAAGAACUGGUAUGUCAGUAAACAGAGAUGAAUCUGGAUGUGCAGUUUUUGCAGGUCAACUAUGAGGAAUUCAAGUCAGUGUGUUACUUUCUGAAUGUACAUGUUCUCCCUUUUUCCAUUUUUAUAAAAGGGCUGAAGGUCGUCUCUGUAGCUUUAGUUGUACCAAUGCCACAAUUAGGAAUCCGCGACUUUUGUAGCACAAAAACAAAGUUGAACUAAACUAACACAAAAAACAAAAAAAACAAAAAAAUUAGUAGGUUUCAGCACUAAAUUAGUGUGUGAAAGGACCAAACUGC
Molecule: long non-coding RNA, 1906 nt
Organism: Lycium barbarum (goji berry)
Lineage: Eukaryota; Viridiplantae; Streptophyta; Magnoliopsida; Solanales; Solanaceae
Exons: 3
Source: RefSeq, a predicted model, not a curated record